GAUGAACGCUGGCGGCGUGCUUAACACAUGCAAGUCGAGCGAGAAGUUUUGAAAAGAUUCUUCGGAUGAAAUUUAAAAUGGAAAGCGGCGGACGGGUGAGUAACGCGUAGGCAACCUGCCCCAUACAAAGGGAUAGCAUUUGGAAACGAAUAUUAAUACCUUAUGAAACUUAACUAGUGCAUGCUAGGUAGGUCAAAGAUUUAUCGGUAUGGGAUGGGCCUGCGUCUGAUUAGCUAGUUGGUGAGGUAACGGCUCACCAAGGCGACGAUCAGUAGCCGGACAGCGGGGGUGAACGGAAACGUAGGAACAGAGACACGGUCCAAACUCCUACGGGAGGGAGCAGAAGGGAAAAUUGCAAAAUGGGGGAAACCCUGAUGAAGCAAAGACGCGUGAACGAUGAAGGCAUUUGGGUCGUAAAGUUCUGUUCUAGGUGAUGAAAACUGACAGUAACAUAGGAGAAAGCCCCGGCUAACUCCGUG
Molecule: ribosomal RNA, 479 nt
Filed under: uncultured bacterium
Lineage: Bacteria
Description: partial 16S ribosomal RNA
Rfam family: Bacterial small subunit ribosomal RNA
Source: RNAcentral